RNAcentral lists this long non-coding RNA (2975 nucleotides) under Lactuca sativa (garden lettuce). RNAcentral's name for it is "long non-coding RNA (LSAT_LNC005456)". Lineage: Eukaryota; Viridiplantae; Streptophyta; Magnoliopsida; Asterales; Asteraceae. The record is from RNAcentral.
UCGGAUCACACAUCUGACUGUCUGCUGAAAUCUCGCCAUCGCUUUUUUAUUUCUAUAUAUAUUCCAUCUCUGCCCCCAUAGUCUUCUCGAUUACCGAACAUUUUGCCUUCUUUUCUGAUUAUCUGGAUCUUCCAGAUGGUUGAAGAAUCUCAAAUUUCGGUUUUUCCAUUAUGAUUGCAAAUUGUUGGUCUGAUUCAGAGGGUCAACCACUUCAUGUAGACAAAUUGUUUUCCCACAAGAAUGUUAAGUCGCUUUUUUCUGUUUAUUUCUCCUCAUUGAUUUCUUGAUUUCUGUCCUCACUUUCAUAGAUGUUUUAUUUUUGGAUUUGGUGAAUAUCAUGGCAUUUUCAUGGACAUGAAGUAUGACUUUGAUGGUGAACUGAUAUUAAUCUUUAAUGGCAUAGACUCCCACAAAUCUUUCGUUUAACUGGUAACUCAUUAAUUUUCUCAUUCCUCCUUUCUCUUGUUGUUGGUUAUUGGACUAUUUAAGGAAAUUGUCAUUGGUAUAAUUUUGAGAUACUAUAUAUUCUUCAGAAUACAAUGACUAGAUCCCUGAAUCUAAUUAUAUAAUAGCUUCAUUUGUCCACACAAUCUAUAAACACCAACAAGGGGAAGAAGAAAGUUAAUCCGUUACCAGCGAAACUCAACGAUUUGUGUGUCUAUGUCAUUGAGAUACCAUACUAAAGGGUUAACUUUUGGUUCACCACCAAAGUCCCAAUUCCUGUUCAUUAAAAUGCCAUGAUAUACAUCAAAUCCAAAAAUAAAACAACUAUAAAAUAUAGGAUAGAAAACAAGAAACCAAACAUGAGAAAUAAACUGAAAAAUGUUGUUGAACUUUAUUUUCUUGUUGGAAAAUGAUUUGUCCACAAGAUGUGGUUGACUCUGGAAUACAUUUGAAUCCAGCAAAAAAGCAGCAUUUUCCUUGGUUCAGUUUAACUCCUUCCUGCGAUCAUUGUGCUAUAAAGCUUCCUUUUAAAUUUAAUCUUAUAGCUAAUAGUAUCUUCACUAUCUUAUCUUUGAACCUUUCUGUUUGGUUCAGUUUAAUUAACUCCUUCCGUGAUUAUUGAUUAUUGAGCUUUAAAGCUUCCCUUUAAAUUUAAAUGUAUAGCUAGUACUAUCUUUACUAUCUUAUCUUUAUAUUUUGUUGUCUUUGACUCUCUAGGAACAGAAAGAACAUUCUGCAACUACUAGUGGAACCAUACGUAAGUACAUCUGCAUUUUCAGUAUAACGAUUGUUUAUAUAAUGUCUGUUCAGUAGGAUAUAAAUUAUUGACAAUCUUUUUUCUGGUAUUUGUAAUUGCAUAUACUGAUUAACAAGUUAUUCUUAUAUGGAUAGGAAUUUUCAUCCAUAUGUGUCUGUUCUCAUGAAGUAUAUCGUGUUGCAAGUUAAGCAUGUUUGCCAACAGGAGGUAUGUUCUUUUUUCUAUGAUUCAGUUAACUAGAUAUAACUAUUGAUUUUGUUCAUCAAAGAAGUGUCGUUCUUUUCUCGUGAUCUCCACUGAGUUGAUUUUAGUUAGAGAUUUUUAAACAUAUAUAAUGUAGUAAAUGUAAACCCCUUUUGAAGUGAUGAGAGGAAAAAAUCCAUUGAAACAUGGAGCUUUCAGUGCAUGAUGCAGAAAUUGGUAUACUAAACACUAUUGCAUAGGCAGACGGAUAUUGUCCCCAUGUAAAUUUAAUAAAUAAAAAGCAUUAAACUGUUAAGAGAGUAUGUCUUGCUUUUCUUAAUUGUUCUUGCAUUAACAUUAAACCAUGCAACCUUUAACUACAUACCGCAACGUGAGUUUUGGUUGACUAAAAAAACAACAGUUUUGGUUAGACUUUGCCAAUAGAACAAGUACAUCUAAUGGCCAUGCGUAUGUAUUUGUUCUUUGUUUUGUGAUUUUGUUUUACAAAAAUAUUUCCUUUAAUGACUUAUAUUUUUAAUAAUCUGAACAGGUUGGUAUAUUCAUGAAUGGGAAUCUUCUUGCCCCAGAAAUGAANUGGAGCUUUCAGUGCAUGAUGCAGAAAUUGGUAUACUAAACACUAUUGCAUAGGCAGACGGAUAUUGUCCCCAUGUAAAUUUAAUAACUAAAAAGCAUUAAACUGUUAAGAGAGUAUGUCUUGCUUUUCUUAAUUGUUCUUGCAUUAACAUUAAACCAUGCAACCUUUAACUACAUACCGCAACGUGAGUUUUGCUUGACUAAAAAAACAACAGUUUUGGUUAGACUUUGCCAAUAGAACAAGUACAUCUAAUGGCCAUGCGUAUGUAUUUGUUCUUUGUUUUGUGAUUUUGUUUUACAAAAAUAUUUCCUUUAAUGACUUAUAUUUUUAAUAAUCUGAUCAGGUUGGUAUAUUCAUGAAUGGUAAUCUUCUUGCCCCAGAAAUGAAGCUCCUUGAUGUGGUGAAGCAAUGGAUGGCUAUUGUUGCUUCAGAGAGAAAAAUAACCAAAGGAUGUUCUUCCGAGAACUUCUGUGUGAUGCUCACUUUUGCUCGAAGAGAGUAGACAAGCAGUGGACAACUAUUUUUGGAAUCACCAGGAAAACAUGGCAAUUGAAAUUUGUUUCUAAUGCUUCAUAAGGGUUUUGAAAAAGGCUACAUAUUUAUCAUUAUAUGAUUGAUCUUGAUCUUUUUUCCAUGAGAUUAUUGAUUUUUCUGGCAAUUUCACAUUCAUACAUUAUUAGGAAAUCAGUUUUCAUCCUGGUUGCCGCCCGCGGUAAAAAAUAACCAUUAUUGAUGAAUGGUCACAAUAUGUUUGUACAAAUUUAGUGAUGAAUUCGCAAAAACUAUAUAACGUGCUGUAAUUACUUUUUUUGAAAUCAGCGACAAAUUUGAUACAAAAUAGCUAUGAAUUUACCCAUGUUGCUCAUCAAUUGAAAUAGUUUUCCAUACUCUAUCACUGACUGUCACUAUAUGUCUGUUGUUGAUCCAUCAUGAAGUUUCCGUUAAUAGUUCAUCGUAAAGUUUCCAUUACAAACUCUAUCCUGAUCUCAUAUCUAU